GGCUAGGGGUCUCAUUGGAGCUACAGCUGUCAGCCCAUGCCACAGCCACAGCAAUGGGGGAUCCGAGUGGCGUCUGCGACCUACACCGCAGCUCAUGCACCGCUGGAUCCUUAACCCACUGAGUAAGGCCAGGGAUCGAACCGGCAACCUCAUGGUUCCUAGUUGGAUUCGUUUCCACUGCACCACGACAGGAACUCCCCUCUUCUCUUUUAAAGAAUGAAAUGUAUUACCCAGAGCUGGUUGGCUUCUGCUUAUGUUAGUAAGAGCUGCUAGUUGCUGAUUUACUGCGUGUCGAGCCUUUUAGGUACAUUAACUCAUUUAGGUCUCACAACAAGCUAGUUUCCCUCCCAGCCGUUUCCUGGCUUUUAACUUAACCUCAUUGAGUCUAUAGCCUAUAAACUGGGCAUAGUAAUAAUAAUAGUAAUAUCUAAAAGAGCUGGGUGAGAUAUAAAUGAGAAGACAAGUGUACAUAAAAUCACCCAGGACUCAAUGAACAGGUCCUCCGUGUCUGUCUUUGUUGCAAGCCAGCGGGACGUGGAGAAACCACAGACCUCCGCCACAGGAGCAGAGACCUGAGACCCUCCUCCCGGCUAAGAGCCUUAGUAACUCACUUCUCCUGGGACCCCUCCUCCAAAGCACGGGAGAGAGGACGAAGCAUAAAGACCCUAAAGAACUGUAAUCGCAGCUAGAAUUUUGCCAAGAUUCCCUCCUGCCUUUUUUUUUGGUUUUUGGGUGGGAUAGCUGACAUUUGCUUCAUUUGCUGGGACCAGAGCUCUGAGGAAUCCUUAUGGCCACUCCCAAGUGGCCAGAGCCGGUAUUUAAAAAACAGUGAAGAAACGCCAAAACAGGAUUUUAGCAACAGGUGUUUAAAAUGUACACAUUGUUCACAUUAAUGCUUUUAGUGCGUACAUGUUCCGUGCCUGUAGAGUUAUCUUGAGAUGACUUUGAAAGUCUGAGUUUGAGGUCCCCCCUCCUGGACGGCCUCCUUAAGCAUCCGGCAGACUGACUCUUAACAUUUUUGAUUACGUAAUGGGAGGCCUUUCAUCCUACCCUCCCUCCCGCCUUCCUUCCAAGUUUGCUUCUAGACAAGUGUGGGGCAAGUUCAGAGGAACCAGGAAAGUGAUGAGUGAUUUUCGAUCUUCGGGGAUUCCAAUUCCGUGUACGUUUGCCACGUGAAGUUGAGCAAGUCCCUUUACUUCCAGCCUCCAGGAACUUACAGUCCCAUCAGAGAGGCAGACCUGGAGUUGAGACGGUCCUGAUAUUGCUGUGGGUGCAGACAAGGAUGUUUUCUUUUCUUUUCUCUUCUUUCUCCCUCCCUCUCUCUCUCGCUUUCUUUCCUUUUCUUUUUCUUUUCUUUCUUUCUUCUUUCUUUCUUUCUUUCUUUCUUUCUUUCUUUCUUUCUUUCUUCCUUCCUUCCUUCCUUCCUUCCUUCCUUCCUUCCUUUCCUUUCCUUUCCUUUCCUUCCGUUCCUUCCUUCCUUUGUUCCUCCCUUCCUUCCUUCCAUCCUUUUAGGGCUGCGCCUGCAGCAUAUGGAAGUUCCUGGGCCAGGGGUCGAAUCAGAGCUGCAUCUACUGGCCUACACCACAGCCACAGCAACACCAGAUCCAAGCCAUAUCUGCAGCUAUGCUGUCACUUGCGGCAACGCCAGAUCCUUAAUCCACUGAGUAAGGCCAGGAUUGGAACCUGCAUCCUUAUGAAUACUAGUUGGGUUCCUAACCAGCUGAGCCACAGUAAACAACUGCGUUCCACACAAAAGUGCAACAUGUGAGAUGCCUAAGCUUUAGCGGCCCUAGGGGAAAAAAAAAAAAAAAAAAAAAAAAAAGAAAGAAAAAAAGGAAGAUUUGAAGGAGUUGGGAUCCCUGGACCAGGUGAAGGCUGUGGGGCAAGUCAUCCAAGGCAGUCAUUUAUUUUGCAGAAUUGGCUCUCAACCACCAGGGGAUAUUGGGAGCUGUGUGGGGGCCGGAGAGGCCCCAAGACCUCUGGCGUGCAGGCCUGUGCUGCAAACCAAGCUUGUCUCCCUUCCCCACCCAUGCCUGUAGUGUCCCUGUUGAGAAAUGCAGAGCCAGGCACCAGGCAGGUGUUUUGUAACAAACCCAAGGGGUGAGUGGUAUUAUCUCCUAUUUUAUAGGCCAAGACCUGGAGAAAUCACCCAGCUAACAGGCAGGCAGAUCAGUCAGUAUUUGAAUGCAGGUCUACUGAUUCCAGAGCCCAGGCCCUUAGCUGAUCUGGUACACUGCUGCCCCUGCCCUGGGGACACCCAGCCUUUUAAUUAACCUGACAGCCCAAGGAACUUAAAUUAGAUGUAAGGGAGAACUUUCUGAUAUGUUCCUCCCCAGCCCCCCACCCCCCAAUCUUAAAAUUAGAACUAAAGUGGGGCAUUCUAGAGCGGGGCUUUUCAAACUGUCAUCCAGAACUCACAGUCAUGGUAUCAGCUUAAUGGGUUGACAUGUUUGGGGGGGGGAAAAAAAAAGGGGAAGGGACAUGGGGGUAGGGGAUUAAGAAAUGCAAACCUGGAGUUCCCACUGUGGCUCAACAGGUUAAGAACCUGACAUAGUGUCUGUGAAGUUGUGGGUUUGAUCCCUGGCCUUGCUCAGUAGGUUAAGGAUCUGGCGUUGCUAUGAGCUGCAGCAUAGUUCGAGGGUGUGGCUUGGAUCCAGCAUUGCUGUGGCUGUGGCGUAGGCCCCAGUCACAGCUCUGAUUUGACUCCUUGGCUGGGAACUUCCCUAUGCUACAGGUG
This 2737-nucleotide long non-coding RNA is filed under the name Sus scrofa (pig). Its description in RNAcentral is "lncRNA (ENSSSCG00060067819.1)". Lineage: Eukaryota; Metazoa; Chordata; Mammalia; Artiodactyla; Suidae. The record is from RNAcentral.